This 245-nucleotide ribosomal RNA is filed under the name Candidatus Giovannonibacteria bacterium RIFCSPLOWO2_01_FULL_43_160. RNAcentral describes it as "partial 23S ribosomal RNA". It matches the Rfam family "Bacterial large subunit ribosomal RNA", at positions 2667 to 2925 of the family's 2925-position model. The record is from RNAcentral. Lineage: Bacteria; Candidatus Giovannoniibacteriota.
GGGGGUUCUUCCUAGUACGAGAGGACCGGAAGGAGGCGACCUCUGGUCUACCUGCUGUUCCGCCAGGAGCACCGCAGGGCAGCUAUGUCGUUGAGUGAUAAGCGCUGAAAGCAUCUAAGCGCGAAGCAUGCCCCAAGAUUAGGAAUCGUUAUCAGAUCCCUCGAAGACUACGAGGUUGAUAGGCUCCAGGUGUAAGUGCCGCAAGGCAUUCAGCCGAGGAGUACUAAUAGAUCGAGCCGUCUUGU